RNAcentral lists this unclassified non-coding RNA (406 nucleotides) under uncultured Rhizophagus. RNAcentral's name for it is "sequence contains 28S rRNA gene". The record is from RNAcentral. Lineage: Eukaryota; Fungi; Glomeromycota; Glomeromycetes; Glomerales; Glomeraceae.
AGUUAAACAGUACGUGAAAUUGUUGAAAGGGAAACGAUUGAAGCCAGUCGUACCUUCGGGUAAUCAGCCUUUCGGGUGCGAUUCUGUGGAGUUUGAGGAGCUUAACACCUUCAUGCUUUGCAUAUUCGUGCUCUUGGGUGUACUUGCUCGUAUGGUUGGUUAACAUCAAUUUUGGUGGUCAUAAAAUGACUGGAGGAAUGUAGCUUCGAUCUCGUAUUGAAGUGUUAUAGCCUUCGGUAGAUGUGAUGACUGAGAUUGAGGAUUGCAACGGAUACCCUUCGGGGCUACCUGUCUGAUCUCUGAUCGUUGCUCUGGUGCCGAAAGCUUGCUUACGGUUGUCAAAGUCGAUGGUCAAUAGGUUAGAAUGGGUUAAAUUCGUUAAGGAUGUUGACGUAAUGGCUUUAAA